GAUGAACGCUGGCGGCGUGCCUAAUACAUGCAAGUCGAGCGAACAGAUGAGGAGCUUGCUCCUCUGACGUUAGCGGCGGACGGGUGAGUAACACGUGGAUAACCUACCUAUAAGACUGGGAUAACUUCGGGAAACCGGAGCUAAUACCGGAUAAUAUAUUGAACCGCAUGGUUCAAUAGUGAAAGACGGUUUUGCUGUCACUUAUAGAUGGAUCCGCGCCGCAUUAGCUAGUUGGUAAGGUAACGGCUUACCAAGGCAACGAUGUGUAGCCGACCUGAGAGGGUGAUCGGCCACACUGGAACUGAGACACGGUCCAGACUCCUACGGGAGGCAGCAGUAGGGAAUCUUCCGCAAUGGGCGAAAGCCUGACGGAGCAACGCCGCGUGAGUGAUGAAGGUCUUCGGAUCGUAAAACUCUGUUAUUAGGGAAGAACAAAUGUGUAAGUAACUAUGCACGUCUUGACGGUACCUAAUCAGAAAGCCACGGCUAACUACGUGC
This 498-nucleotide ribosomal RNA is filed under the name uncultured bacterium. RNAcentral's name for it is "partial 16S ribosomal RNA". It matches the Rfam family "Bacterial small subunit ribosomal RNA", at positions 28 to 508 of the family's 1533-position model. The record is from RNAcentral.